GUCCACGCCGUAAACUAUGGAUACUAGGUGUUUGGGAAGUUAACAUCCUGAGUACUAAAGCUAACGCAUUAAGUAUCCCACCUGGGGAGUACGGUCGCAAGGCUAAAACUCAAAGGAAUUGACGGGGGCCCGCACAAGCGGUGGAGUAUGUGGUUUAAUUCGACGCAACGCGCAGAACCUUACCUACCCUUAACAUCCCAGGACGAUUGCAGAGAUGUAAUCUUCUCUUCGGAGACCUGGUGAUAGGUGCUGCAUGGCUGUCGU
RNAcentral lists this ribosomal RNA (264 nucleotides) under uncultured bacterium. RNAcentral's name for it is "partial 16S ribosomal RNA". It matches the Rfam family "Bacterial small subunit ribosomal RNA", at positions 793 to 1055 of the family's 1533-position model. The record is from RNAcentral.